This 856-nucleotide ribosomal RNA is filed under the name Thyreus decorus. Its description in RNAcentral is "12S ribosomal RNA". The record is from RNAcentral. Lineage: Eukaryota; Metazoa; Arthropoda; Insecta; Hymenoptera; Apidae.
AUAUGAAUAUUUUAUAUUUAAUAAUUUAAAUUAAAAUAUUUAUUUAAAUUAAAAUUUUGAUUUUUAAUUUAUAAUUAAUUUUUUUAAUUUGGUAUAUAUAAAGUUUGUUAAAAAAUUUGUUUUUAAUAUUGAGAUCUAUGAUAAUUAAUGAAAAUUAUAUCUGGGAAUUAAAAUUAGUAGAUUUAAAAUUAAGUGCCAGCAAUAGCGGUUAAACUUAUUCUGCAAAUUAAUUUAUUUAAUUCAAAAUUAGUUUUUUAUAUAAAAAAUUUAUUUUAAUAUAAAAAAUUUUAGUGAAAUAUUUAUUUUUUAUUAAUUAAUAAAUUUAAUUAUAUAUAUAAUUUAUAAAAUUUGCAAAAAAACUAGGAUUAGAUACCCUAUUAUAAAAUCUAAAAUUAAUUGAAUUAACAAUUAAAUGUAAAGCAUUAAAAUUUUAAAAUCUGGCGGUUAUAUACUCUGAUUAGAGAAACUUGUAUAAUUUGAUUGAUAAUCCACGAUAAGAUAUACUUUUUAUAUGCUUAUGUAUUGCUGUUGGAAAAUAAUUUAUUUAUUAAUUAUUAUAAUAUUAUUAGUUUUAUAUUAAUUAAUAAUUUAUUAUUAUAACAUUAUUAAUUGUUAUAAAAUUAAUGAUUAUAAUUCAAGUCAAAAUGUUGUUUUAAAAAGAUUUAUAUGAGUUUCAAUUAUUUUUAUUAUUAGAUAAUUAAUUUUAAUUAUUAAUUUGAAAGAGAAUUUAAGAGUAAAUUUUAAUAAUUUUUAAAGUUGAAAAAAGUCUUAUAUAGCGUACAAAUUGCCCGUCAAUUUCGUUAAUAAUGAAAUAAGUCGUAACAUAGUAAAAGUACUGGAAAGUGUUUUUAGAUUA